This 468-nucleotide ribosomal RNA is filed under the name uncultured bacterium. RNAcentral describes it as "partial 16S ribosomal RNA". It matches the Rfam family "Bacterial small subunit ribosomal RNA", at positions 28 to 507 of the family's 1533-position model. The record is from RNAcentral.
GACGAACGCUGGCGGCGUGCUUAACACAUGCAAGUCGAACGGAAAGGCCCUGCUUUUGUGGGGUGCUCGAGUGGCGAACGGGCGAGUAACACGUGAGUAACCUGCCCUUGACUUUGGGAUAACUUCAGGAAACUGGGGCUAAUACCGGAUAGGAGCUCCUGCUGCAUGGUGGGGGUUGGAAAGUUUCGGCGGUUGGGGAUGGACUCGCGGCUUAUCAGCUUGUUGGUGGGGUAGUGGCUUACCAAGGCUUUGACGGGUAGCCGGCCUGAGAGGGUGACCGGCCACAUUGGGACUGGGAUACGGCCCAGACUCCUACGGGAGGCAGCAGUGGGGAAUAGUGCACAAUGGGCGGAAGCCUGAUGCAGCAACGCCGCGUGCGGGAUGACGGCCUUCGGGUUGUAAACCGCUUUCGCCUGUGACGAAGCGUGAGUGACGGUAAUGGGUAAAGAAGCACCGGCUAACUACGUG